Molecule: ribosomal RNA, 253 nt
Filed under: uncultured bacterium
Lineage: Bacteria
Description: partial 16S ribosomal RNA
Rfam family: Bacterial small subunit ribosomal RNA
Source: RNAcentral
UACGUAGGGUGCAAGCGUUAAUCGGAAUUACUGGGCGUAAAGCGUGCGCAGGCGGUUGUGCAAGACAGAUGUGAAAUCCCCGGGCUCAACCUGGGAACUGCAUUUGUGUCUGCACGGCUGGAGUGCGGCAGAGGGGGAUGGAAUUCCGCGUGUAGCAGUGAAAUGCGUAGAUAUGCGGAGGAACACCGAUGGCGAAGGCAAUCCCCUGGGCCUGCACUGACGCUCAUGCACGAAAGCGUGGGGAGCAAACAGG